RNAcentral lists this non-coding RNA (29 nucleotides) under Rattus norvegicus (Norway rat). Lineage: Eukaryota; Metazoa; Chordata; Mammalia; Rodentia; Muridae. The record is from RNAcentral.
UUUGAGAAAGAAAACCCUUUUCUCAAGAC